Molecule: long non-coding RNA, 424 nt
Organism: Gossypium arboreum
Lineage: Eukaryota; Viridiplantae; Streptophyta; Magnoliopsida; Malvales; Malvaceae
Exons: 2
Source: RefSeq, a predicted model, not a curated record
AACAAUGUGGCUAAAGAUACAAUAAAUUGAAGUUAAAAGCUGAAAAAAAGUGGGAGGAAACUAGGGAAUACCAUGCCGGAAUGACGAUGAACGGAAUGGAUUCUACGAUUAGAGCCAGUUUCUUUCUUCUCAAGUUAAGACCUUUCACCCUGAUGGGCCUUUUACGGCCGAUGAAGUUCCGACUCCAUUUCAGUAUUUUGCCGAACCAACCCAACGCUAAUUACUCCUCGCUUCAGUCCCUAGUACCGGCCUCACAACUCGCAAUGCUAAGGGUACAAAAAUGUAGUCCAACACUGUUGAGCUAAUAAUCAUAUUUUGUUGUAUAAAUAGAAAAUCCUACUCGGCUACAAACAUUGAAGAUGAAGUAAAAUAGACAUGAAAUAUGCUUUUAUUAUAAUAAAACAGUAUCCUAAUCGAAUGAUCA